Nomascus leucogenys (northern white-cheeked gibbon) is the source of this 8281-nucleotide long non-coding RNA. RefSeq lists it as uncharacterized. Lineage: Eukaryota; Metazoa; Chordata; Mammalia; Primates; Hylobatidae. The record is from RefSeq and is a predicted model, not a curated record. The transcript is spliced from 3 exons.
AUCAUUAUAUAAUGACCUUUGUCUCUUCUUACAGUUUUUGAUGUGAAAUGUACUUUAAGUAUAGCUACUUUUGUUCUUUUUUGGUUUCAGUUUGCACAAAAUAUCUUUUUCCAUCUUUAUUUUUCAUCCAUUUUUACUUUCAGUCCACAUGUCUUUAUAGGUAAAGUGAGUUUCUUGUGGAAAGCACAUAGUUGUGUCUUUCUUUAUUCAGUGACUUCAUGUCUUUUAACUGGAGAAUAUAGUCAAUUUAUAUUCAGUGUCAUUAUUGACAGGUAAGGACUUACUAAUGCCAGCUUGCUAGUUGUUUUCCAGUUAUUUUGUAAACCUUCUCUUUCUUUCUUACUGGCUUUGGGGAUAAAUGAUUUUCUCUGGCAGUAUGUUUUAAUUCAUUUUUUCUUUUUAGUGUAUCUGUUAGAUUUUUGCUUUGAGGUUAUAAUAAGGGUUGAAACAAACAUAUUAGAGUUAUAACAAGUUACUUUAAACUGAUGACAACUUUGAUUCCAAAGAAGAAAAGACAGAAGCAAAGAAAAAUUAAAAUACUCCACGGUUUAACUCCAUCCCCCUGGUUUUCGACUUUUUGCUGUGUCUAUAUAUCUUCUUAUAAUUCCUAUCUCUUAACAAACCUGUGUGGUUAUUAUUUCUUAUAGAUUUGCCUCUUAGUCUUUAUAAUAAGUGUAUGCAUGGUUUACACACUGCAAUGGCAGUAUUAGAUAAUUCUGUGUACUUUUACCAGUGACUUUUCUACUUUUAGGUGAUUUCUUGCUGCAUGAUAGCAUCCUUGUUUUCAGUUGGAAAACUCCCUUUAACAUUUCUUGUAAGACAGGUCUGGUGAUGAUUAAUUAAUUCCCUCAGGUUUUGUUCAUCUGGGAAAGUUUUUAUUUCUCCUUUGUGUUUGAAAAAUAGCUAUGCUGGGUACAGUUUCCUUAGUUGGAGCUUUUAUUUCCUUUAGCACUUUGGAUAUGUCAUUCCCAUUCCCCCCAGGUCUAUAAGGUUUCCUCUGAGAAGUCUAUUGCUAGACGUAUCAGACCUUAGAUGUUAUUUGCUUUUAUCUUGCUGCUUUUAGGAUCCUUUGUUUUUGACCUUUGGGAGUUGGUUAUAUGCCUUGGGAAAGUCUUAUAUGGAUUGUGUCUUCUUUGAUGUUCUGUGAACUUCUGGUACUUGGAUAUUAAUAAUUUUCUAUAGGUUUGGAAAGUACUGUGUUAUUAUUUAUUUGGAUAAAUUUUCUACCCUCAUCUCUGUAUCUACAUCCUCUUUAUGGACAAUAACUCUUAAAUUUGCCUUUUUGAGAAUUUUUUUUAGAUCUUGUAAGCAUACUUUAUUCUUUUUAAUUAUUUUUUAUUAUCUUCCUAUUUUUAAAUAGCUCAUCUUUGAGUUCACUAGUUCCUUAUUCUGCUUAAUUCUGUUGUUAAGACAGUGUUACAUUUUUUAGUUUAAUCUAUUGAAUUUUUCAGCUCCAGUAUUUUUUUAAAUGUCAAUGUCUUUGUUAAAUUUCUUAGAUAGAUUUAUGAAUUCCUUCUCUAUGUUAUCUUGAAGUUUGCCAAGCUGCCUCAAAAUGUUUAUUUUGAAUGCCCUAUCUGAGAGGUUGUAUAUCUCUGUCACUCCAGGGUUGUUCACUGGUGCCUUAUUUAGUCUGUUUGGUGAGGUAAUAUUUUCCUGGAUGUCCUUCAUGCUUAUGAACAUUUGUCCUUGUGUCGACAUUGAAGAGUUAGGUAUUUGAUCUAGUCUUCACAGUCUGACCUUGUUUGUUUGGGACUCAGUUUCCUCCUCCUUGGGUGAUGAAGUCUUGGGCCCAGGGCUUGUUUUAAUGGCAUCAACAGAAUUCUGCCCCAUGCUAUGUUCUGACUGUGACAGGGUGGGACUGAGUUCCAUGCCAAGUUCCAAACUCACUUUGCUCUGCCUCCUCCAAGCACAGAUUUUCUCUCUUGGCUGUACUGCUCGGAGUGGGGGUAGGGGUAGUGUAGGGAACAUGAGAGACUGUCCUUCCCACCUUCUUCAAUGUGUCCUUGUUAUUAUGCUAAACCCAGCUACUCUGAUCACUCACCUGAUAUUUUUGGUUCUUAUGAAGGUGCUUUUUGCAUGGAUAAUUGUUUGAUUUUAUGUUCCUGCAGAGGAUGAGGGAGGGAAUUUCUGAAGGGUUCUAGUUGGCCAUCUUGCUCCACCUCCUUCAGUAGGAGUCUUACCUUUGUAGCUUGGUCUUCCCAAUAAUUUUCUAUGGACUUUUAAUAAUUAUGUCAAAAAUUAAUUUACCAAAAUAAUUUUAAAGGAAUAACAUGACAAUUUUAAGUGAUAAUGCAUAUUCAACCUAAACUAAAUUAAGCCAAACUAAAAACUGGGAAAAAGUUAUUAAAAAAUUGCAUCUAGCAAUUUUCACAUGAUUUUAAUGAAAGCAAUAAAUUAUUUGAAAUAGAAAUCAUUACCAUUAAUAUUCCAUAUAGAUUAUUUAAACAACUUUUCUACAUAUGUUGAGAGGGAAAUAAAAAUUGAGACAAAAUUUUGUAGAUGAGAAAGAAAAAGACAACAUAAUUUCUAAGUAAUAUGCUUGGAUAAAUGCUAUUUUAAAAUGGCAGCUAGUAAUUUUAAUUUGACAUGAAUAUAAUGAAAAAUGCAACUAAGGUGAAUGAAAAAAUUGUAGGACUUCAUAUUGUCUUCAUCAUAUCAGGUAAUAGGUACCAAAAUGUCCCUCUAGAUUAAAAAAAAAUUAAACUGUCAAUAACUUGUAUUCAGCAUAGAUUUAUUUAAAUUACAUAUUUUAAUUUCUGUAAUCAUCAUUAACUCCUCUGAAAGAUGAUAUAAUUAAGAACCUCUAUUUCUCUUUUCUUCUGAGUUUGUUGCUUUUAUAAUAUUUAAUUUGUGAUGGUUUAUUAUAUAUCUGUUCUACUCUGCAAUAAUAAUUACUUCAGUUGUUUUAUCUUAGGUCAUACUUAAAUGAAGUAAGUGUUCAGCCACCUAUUAUAUAACCAUGGUUUCCUAAUUUCUCUAUUCUUUAUUAUGAUUUAUCUCUUCAUUGGUUGCAUUUAAUCUUCAAGUAGGGUUUGUUUAAGUUUCAUUGUUGUAAAAUCUCAUUAAACCUGUUAUUUAAUGUAUAGAAAUGCCUUUCUGUUGUAUUUACAACUGAAGAGCAAUUUGCUAUAUAUAAAACGGAGACUUUGUUACAUUGUUUCUGAAACUCAAUAUUUAUUCUGAGGCCAAUCAGAUUUCCCACUUGUUAUGUAACUUGCUUAUCUUGAUUUUCCCAGACUCAUCAAUUUCUGAAUGCUUUUAUUUUUGAAAUUUAAUAACUAAAUGUUUUAUAGUAUUAGCUUUUUAUUAACUUUUCUUGGCAUGUGCCGUAUUAACUGAAAUAUUUAGUCAUUCAUUUACUUUAGGUAAGUUUCCCUCUUUUAUAUCUCUCAUUAUUUUCUGUUCUAUUUGUUGGUGUCUUUACUUCAGCAGUAUCAAUAGCCCUAUGGUGGAUGCACUAUAGUUUAUAUACCUAUCGUCUAAUUAUUUAAACCUGUUGUCUGUUUAUUUUUAUUCACUAUAACUAAAUAAAUCAUUAUCUCCAUGAUGACUUCUGUUUCCUGCUGCUUCUAAUUUAUUUUAUCUAUACUGUUUGUUUUGUAUCAGUUUUUUCUUUUUCUUAUAUUGCUUUUCUCAUAAUUCUGAUCUUUUAUUACAUUAUUGUGUUUUCCUUGUUUUACUAAAUCUAUGUCCUUAUUGGAUUAUUCAAUAAAUGCAAAACACUAGCAAAGGAAUUUUAGUUCCUUGGAUUGUAUAUUCUUUCAAAUUGGAUUAUGUUUUAAAAUCAAUGCCUUUCUCCAUUUAUAUAUUAAUAUAUUUUUAUUUGGGGGCUGUAAUAUAUUUUCAUCACUCUCAAUUUUUUUCCUCUUGUACCUUUGUUAAUAUAUUUACUAGGAAAUGGUGUAUGUGGUUUCUCCUUGACAUCACUCUUACCUUAUCUGGGAUUAUUUAUCUUCCCCCCGUGUACUAGAAGGUACAGAGAACAGACAGAAGAGAGUGGGAAGCACAGCUGGGACUGAUUGCAGUCUUUGAGGAGGUCCUGGGUUUACUCUUCUUGCUGAGAUCCUACCAGAUGUUCUUCAUUGGACUCCAUUACACCAAGCUGGGCGUGAAUUCAAGUCUUUUGGGCUUUGGCUCACUUCCCUAAUUUAGCACUGUAUGCUGGAGCGAGAGAAUCUAUGGCCCUUCCUGCUUCUGCCAAGGUCCAGAUGUGAUUUGUAGAGCAUCCACUAAGUGUUUUAUCUUGAUUUUCCCAGACCCAUCAAUUCAUCCCUUCAGCCCACUCCUUUCAAGUUACAGAGCAUUCAGAUUCAGGAUUUGUGUCACUUCUUAUAUCCUCAGUGCCUCUUCUAGAGGUAGAAUAAGAGUUGGGAAUUCUGUUGACCUGGCCAUGACACCACAAUUUUCUGUUACUUCACUGGUCAUCAUUUUUGAGUUUAUAAUCCUUCCCCAUUUCUUCCUGCUGAUGGGAAAAUUGGCAGGGUUGUUUUUGUUUUGCUUUUGUUUAUUGGAGGAGGAAGAUUCUGUACCAUAACUUCAUAGCACCACCAGCCUGCAGAUAAAUAACUAUUUUCAAAUGUAUUUGUGAGAUAUGCACCUUAAGAGAUUAGAGCAAAAAUACUAAUGUUUAAAAAUAAGCAAGCAAGUGCAUGAAACACCUAACUUCAAUGGCUUGGACUAUCAAAUAUUAACACAUCAACAUUUAGUGUCCAUUUUGUACAAAAUACUAGGCCUGGUGCUAUAUAAGUAGGGACGGAAAAUGAAAAGAGGCAGAUAUGCUUAGACAAUUGUAUAAGGUAGAAUUAAUUACUUCCAAUAACAAAUCACAGACAAAAUGUAAAGGUGAGUUAAAGGGGGGAGACAGUAUAUCCAGUUAAGGGAAUAUCAAAAUGCAUAAUGAAAAACAUGACAUUUAUAAUGUAUUCCAAAGAUGGGAUGAGGGCAGGUACAUUUACAGAAAAGAAAGUAACAGGAUAAGCAUUAGAUAUGAAGGUAGAAGAGCAUAGAGUGUAGCUAGAAAAGAGUAAGCUAUAUAAUAUGCAAAUAAUUUUACACACAUUGGAGCAGUGAAAAAAGCUGAAAGUGGGGCAUGUAGAUGUAGUGUACUUAACUGAAUGUCGGAGUGACUUAACUCUAUAAGGUAACGGAGAAUAAAAACCACAAGUAGUUAAUAAGCAAGAGUACAACAUGAAUAGGCUAGUGAGGAUAAACAUUAAUCCGGCAGCAGGAUAGAGGUUGAAUCCUGGGAAAGCGGAAAAAAUGCUACACUGGGUGGCAUGAGAUUUAGUCUCUCGGUCCAGCUUUGCCACACUACCCAUACGUGUGAAAUUAAGUGAAUCAUUUGACCCCUUUUGGUCCCAUUGAGCUCUCUGUAAAGAUGGUGAACUUGGCUUCUAAUAAAUAUUUAUUAUUAUAUUAUUAAUAGCAUAGGUCUAUAUAUUAUAGUGAGGAAAACAUGGGAAAUACGGAAACUCUUUAGUAUAUAGCAUAAGUUUGGCAAAAAAUAAAUGGAAAAAUAAAUUACGAUUGAAGUGUUUACAGAAAAAAUAUUUUAUAUGCAAGGGAAUUUACAAAGGUAGAGUCAAGAAGUCAAAGAAAUUGUAUGAAAAGAUGACUGCAAGUUUCUGAUUUGGGCUUAUUAGGAGAAUACAGAUGACUUUCAGAAGAAGCGUGAACAUCAAGCUGAGGAGCUUUGUUGAAGAGCAGGAUCUUUCUGUCAACAUGGGAUAGUGGAAGAUUAAAGUAGUGAUGACUACAUAUAGAAAUACAAAGUUGACAGUGAGAGACGCCAAGUCUGAUACUGCAAGAGAAAAAUGUAAGAAACUUAGGACUCAACUUUAUCAAUGAGUUCGUUCAACUGUAGAAAUGCACUAGGGACUGAAUGGUGUCCCCCCAAAAUUUAUAUGUCAAAGCUCUAAUCCUCAAUAUGAUGAUCUCCAGAGAUGGAACUUUGGGGAGGUAACUGGGUUUAGAUGAGGUUAUAAGGAUGGAGUCCUCAUGAAGGGAUUAGUGCCCUUAUAAGGAAGGGCCAGAGAGUGCCCACUUGUUCACGUAUGCUCUUGUAUUCUCUCUCUCCUCAACCCCCACCAUAUGAGGACACAACAAGAAGAUGGUUGUCUACAAGCCAGGAAGAGAGCCUUCACAAGGAACCAAAUCAGCGGGCACCCUGAUCAUGAGACUCCCAGCCUCCAUAACUGUGAGAAAUAAAUGUCUGCUGUUGAAGCCAUCCAGUCCACAGUAUUUUGUUACAGCAGCCUGAGCAGAUUAAAAUAAAGAACUGUAACUUGUGAGACAGACAGAAAGUUGCAAGUGAUGAAAUCCUAACUCAAACAGGCUUAAGCAAAAGAGCUCACAUAACAAAGAUGUCUACAGUCCAAAAGUAAACUACUACAUGGGAGCUCCUGCUGCAAACCCUGCCGUCUGAGAAGAACACAAGCUGAGGGAAGGUUCACCUGAGAGACUGGCUCUGGAAACCAAGAAGGAGAGGGUGAAGGGGAGGGACAAAGAGCCCUUGGUAUAUUCUUCCCAUGCAGCCUCACUCAGCGUAGCCCCAUUUUGUCUGUUUUGUGUAUUACACUUCUCCGUUUUAGUUUCUUUAAAAAUAAAAUUAUGGAGAUAACAGGCAUUUGAAAAUAAUCAGUCUAAGAAAAAGGCUCAAAUCUUGGCAGCAAGAGCCCAAGAUCUACCACUAGUACAACCUGAAAUCAAGUACAUAAUAUCCCCAGCAUUCGUUUUCUUGUCUACAUGACAGGGUUGUUGAGACAAUAACACACGAUUAUUAUUAACUAAUAAUAUAAAACUAACAGGAGUAUGCCCUGUGGCCCAGACCCAAUCUCUCUCUCUCCAUGCAGUUGUCACUAGGCUCAUUUGAUUCCAUGACUUUGUUCACACUAAUAAGCCACUGGAUACAAGUCACACAUACCCUAAAGUGGUUAGUUAGAAAUCUUACGAUGUUUGUGCAAAAUUUGGCUUCAUCUGUUGAUGCUGCAUCGAUAUGAGUUUGCUGUUAAUACAAGUUUCAAGAAAGGAAAGGAAAGGAAAUGGAAGGGAAAAGAAAGGAAGGAAAGGGAAGAAAAAUAAAUUCUCACUAAACACGAAGCAAAAUUAUAUGACUUCUACAUCCUGUCUAGGAUACAGGUGCCCAUUUGGUCCACUCUUAUUCUCUCUUUUCCUCCACAGUUUCUUUCCUGGGUUACCUGGUAGUCUGCUGCUAUCCGUGUACUUUCCUCACAUUGACACUAGGCGUUUUCCUGGAUUCUUUCAUAGGUUCUUCGGAUGUGGAAGUGCAAUAUAAACAUAAAAGCCUUGUUUGUUAUAGCAGAAACUAUGGAUCCAACAGACUUUUCCAUUUGUUCCCAAAUUUUGCUCUGUAAGAACAAAAUAAAACAGAACCAAAAUGAAGCUAUUAUGCCUCAUGUAUGAUAUCCAUAUAUUCAAAUAAUUUUCAUUGAGGUAUAACAUGCAUAGAAAAAGAGUACAUAAAUCAUAAAUGUACAGCUUGAGAAAUUUUCACAAAAUAUAUCCUCUUGUGUAACCAGCACACAGGCCAAGAAGAUUACAAGUACCCAAUUACCCUCCCUAUACCACUCUCAGUCAUUACACUCCAAAGAGAGCUGAUAUACUGACUUCUAAUACCAUCAAUUUACUUUGCUGGUUUCUAAGGUUUGUAUACAUAGAAUCACAAUUUAUACUCAAAUGUAUCUGUUUUCUUUAAUUCAAUAUUGUAAGAUUCAUCCGUAUCAUUACUUACAGUAGUAGUUCAUUUUCAUUGCUAUGUGUAGCAUUUACUUGUAUAAAUAUAAGACAAUGUAUUCAUUUUACUUUAUUGAACAUUUUAGUUUUUCUAGAUUUUGCCUAUUUCACAGAGUGCUGUUACGAGGAUUCUUGAAUGUCUUUUGCUACAUCAUGCUUGCAGUGCUUUGGGGAAGGUACUUAAAGUGGAGUGCCUGGGUACACAGGUUUAACUAUGUACUCAAAUGCUUUCCAAAGGAAUUGGAAAUUAACAAGAUCAUUUAAAAUGUAUAUGUUAAUAUGUAGGGCCACAUACACCCAAGACAUUCUAGGAAAAACAAAACAAAACAAAACACCACUACCAUCAAAGUGGAAAGACACUGCCAAGUAUGACUUAUUAUGAAACUACACUAAUCAAGACAGUGUGGUACUGUUGCAAUAGUCAAAUAAUGGAAUAUAACAUGGAGUCAAGAACUAUCCUUCCUUCCUCCCUUCCUCCCUCUUUUCUUUUUCUUUCUUUCAUUCGUUCAUUCUUUCUUUCCUUCUUUCU